AGAGUUUGAUCAUGGCUCAGGAUGAACGCUGGCGGCGUGCUUAACACAUGCAAGUCGAACGGGCUCAUAUUGAAACCUAGUGAUGUAUGAGUUAGUGGCGGACGGGUGAGUAACGCGUGGAGAACCUGCCGUAUACUGGGGGAUAACACUUAGAAAUAGGUGCUAAUACCGCAUAAGCGCACAGCUUCGCAUGAAGCAGUGUGAAAAACUCCGGUGGUAUACGAUGGAUCCGCGUCUGAUUAGCUGGUUGGCGGGGUAACAGCCCACCAAGGCGACGAUCAGUAGCCGGCCUGAGAGGGUGAACGGCCACAUUGGGACUGAGACACGGCCCAAACUCCUACGGGAGGCAGCAGUGGGGAAUAUUGCACAAUGGGGGAAACCCUGAUGCAGCGACGCCGCGUGAGUGAAGAAGUAUUUCGGUAUGUAAAGCUCUAUCAGCAGGGAAGAAAAUGACGGUACCUGACUAAGAAGCCCCGGCUAACUACGUGCCAGCAGCCGCGGUAAUACGUAGGGGGCAAGCGUUAUCCGGAUUUACUGGGUGUAAAGGGAGCGUANACGGCAGCGCAAGUCUGAAGUGAAAUCCCAUGGCUUAACCAUGGAACUGCUUUGGAAACUGUGCACCUGGAGUGC
RNAcentral lists this ribosomal RNA (630 nucleotides) under uncultured bacterium. Its description in RNAcentral is "bacterial SSU rRNA". It matches the Rfam family "Bacterial small subunit ribosomal RNA", at positions 8 to 649 of the family's 1533-position model. The record is from RNAcentral.